ACUUGCUUUCUUUUGCUGGCGACCGGCGCACGGGUGAGUAACACGUAUCCAACCUGCCCUUUACUCGGGGAUAGCCUUUCGAAAGAAAGAUUAAUACCCGAUAGCAUAAUGAUUCCGCAUGGUUUCAUUAUUAAAGGAUUCCGGUAAAGGAUGGGGAUGCGUUCCAUUAGGUUGUUGGGGGGGUAACGGCCCACCAAGACUACGAUGGAUAGGGGUUCUGAGAGGAAGGUCCCCCACAUUGGAACUGAGACACGGCCAA
Molecule: ribosomal RNA, 259 nt
Filed under: uncultured bacterium
Lineage: Bacteria
Description: partial 16S ribosomal RNA
Rfam family: Bacterial small subunit ribosomal RNA
Source: RNAcentral